GUAACCUGCCCAUCAGAAGGGGAUAACACUUGGAAACAGGUGCUAAUACCGUAUAACAAUCGAAACCGCAUGGUUUUGAUUUGAAAGGCGCUUUCGGGUGUCGCUGAUGGAUGGACCCGCGGUGCAUUAGCUAGUUGGUGAGGUAACGGCUCACCAAGGCCACGAUGCAUAGCCGACCUGAGAGGGUGAUCGGCCACAUUGGGACUGAGACACGGCCCAAACUCCUACGGGAGGCAGCAGUAGGGAAUCUUCGGCAAUGGACGAAAGUCUGACCGAGCAACGCCGCGUGAGUGAAGAAGGUUUUCGGAUCGUAAAACUCUGUUGUUAGAGAAGAACAAGGAUGAGAGUAACUGUUCAUCCCUUGACGGUAUCUAACCAGAAAGCCACGGCUAACUACGUGCCAGCAGCCGCGGUAAUACGUAGGUGGCAAGCGUUGUCCGGAUUUAUUGGGCGUAAAGCGAGCGCAGGCGGUUUCUUAAGUCUGAUGUGAAAGCCCCCGGCUCAACCGGGGAGGGUCAUUGGAAACUGGGAGACUUGAGUGCAGAAGAGGAGAGUGGAAUUCCAUGUGUAGCGGUGAAAUGCGUAGAUAUAUGGAGGAACACCAGUGGCGAAGGCGGCUCUCUGGUCUGUAACUGACGCUGAGGCUCGAAAGCGUGGGGAGCAAACAGGAUUAGAUACCCUGGUAGUCCACGCCGUAAACGAUGAGUGCUAAGUGUUGGAGGGUUUCCGCCCUUCAGUGCUGCAGCUAACGCAUUAAGCACUCCGCCUGGGGAGUACGACCGCAAGGUUGAAACUCAAAGGAAUUGACGGGGGCCCGCACAAGCGGUGGAGCAUGUGGUUUAAUUCGAAGCAACGCGAAGAACCUUACCAGGUCUUGACAUCCUUUGACCACUCUAGAGAUAGAGCUUCCCCUUCGGGGGCAAAGUGACAGGUGGUGCAUGGUUGUCGUCAGCUCGUGUCGUGAGAUGUUGGGUUAAGUCCCGCAACGAGCGCAACCCUUAUUGUUAGUUGCCAUCAUUCAGUUGGGCACUCUAGCAAGACUGCCGGUGACAAACCGGAGGAAGGUGGGGAUGACGUCAAAUCAUCAUGCCCCUUAUGACCUGGGCUACACACGUGCU
This 1118-nucleotide ribosomal RNA is filed under the name Enterococcus faecium. RNAcentral's name for it is "bacterial SSU rRNA". It matches the Rfam family "Bacterial small subunit ribosomal RNA", at positions 121 to 1226 of the family's 1533-position model. The record is from RNAcentral. Lineage: Bacteria; Bacillati; Bacillota; Bacilli; Lactobacillales; Enterococcaceae.